RNAcentral lists this ribosomal RNA (269 nucleotides) under uncultured prokaryote. Its description in RNAcentral is "partial 16S ribosomal RNA". It matches the Rfam family "Bacterial small subunit ribosomal RNA", at positions 524 to 792 of the family's 1533-position model. The record is from RNAcentral.
UACGAAGGUGGCGAGCGUUGUUCGGAAUCACUGGGCUUAAAGCGCAUGCAGGCGGCCGCGCAAGCGUCUUGUGAAAUCCCCCGGCUCAACCGGGGAAUGGCUGGGCGAACUGCGUGGCUUGAGGCAGGUAGGGGUGCGUGGAACUCUUGGUGGAGCGGUGAAAUGCGUAGAUAUCAAGAGGAACGCCGGAGGCGAAAGCGGCGCACUGGGCCUGUCCUGACGCUGAGAUGCGAAGGCCAGGGGAGCGAACGGGAUUAGAUACCCUCGUA